UUCCCCCGCGCUCUCUCUCUGCUCCCCGACCUCCCGCUCUCUCUCUCUUCGGCUCAUCUCUGCAACUCCGGCGUCCGGCCACCUGGGGACUUGCGACCGGCACGGUUCGACUUCCUCUCCUCAUACCCAGCCUCCCUGCAGCUGUAGUUCAUCGCGCCGUGGCCGGAAAAGGGAGAUAUAAGCCGUAGAACUUUACUGUAGCAAGAACGGUCAACGCCAUUUUCCUUCAAUUCAGGCCAUCUCCGGCCGUUUUUCUGGGCUUUUUCUGCAAGUAUUGAGCCGUAGACGACAUCCCUCCAAGCUUUCUUCCACAAAACGCAAUGAAAACGACGGAUCGAAGUUUCUUUUGCCCAGUGUGCAGGUUAGAUUAGUUGAGGUCGGGCGUACAUGGAAUCGAGCCAUAGUCAUCAGCAUAGCUUCCUCGUUUUCAUUUUAUUUAUGUUUUCCUUGUCUACCUUGGAUUAGAAUUGCUCUGAUAACCUAUGGGAUUAAUGGUGUUGAGUUGAGACUUGUAUUUGUGAAAUUAGAGAUGAUAUAAUUUUGGGAGCAGGGUGGCUCCAGGGAUAUAAGAUUGGUUUGUUAGAAGUAUGAAUGUAUUUCUACAGGUUUUGGAUAGUCCAUUUUUAGGGGAAGUUCUGCCAAAUUUUUUGUAAAAUUUCUUCAAAGGUGGGCUCUGCAGGGCCACUUCGGAUUUCAGGGUAAAAUCCGGGGCGGGUCCUGUCAAAAUGACUUUUAAGGACAAUAAAUAUAUCAAAAAAAAUAUAUUAUAUUUAUUUUCUCUAAAUUUUCCAACUCAAUAA
Molecule: long non-coding RNA, 800 nt
Organism: Rosa rugosa (rugosa rose)
Lineage: Eukaryota; Viridiplantae; Streptophyta; Magnoliopsida; Rosales; Rosaceae
Exons: 2
Source: RefSeq, a predicted model, not a curated record